AUUCUUCUUUUCCUGUUGAGAAAAUUACUCGACAGAUUAUAUGAAGCUUUGUUAUAUUCUUGAUGGAGGAAAACUGAUAAUGUAAGGCAUGGCUUAAACAGUGUCAGUGAGUCUAGCUUUGAUGAUUGGGAAUUUUCUGGAUUUUGUGGUUACUCUAUUCAUUCUUGUUUUUGAUUAGUCAAUGAUUCCAAAAUUUGUUGAUUUGGCAAAAUAAAUUUGUUGAGGCAAUGAGAUGGCAGCGACUAUGAUAUCUGUUUUAGUUUCUAAAAUUUGUGAAAGUUGCUGUCUGCUGACUCUUGGAAUUGAGAGUUCCAGUUCCAGAUUUAGAUUGAGGUCUUGUGAUUGUUAACUGCUGGACAAGAAGUCGAGUAUAGACUAUGGGAUCCUUGCUACAGGUUAUACGUUCCGAUCUCUAGUUUUUCUAACAAUUUAUGUCUCUGUCUAUGCCUUCUUGAUUUAAGCUCUUUGUAUAAUAUUUUGACUGGAUGCUUUUCUUAUAAUAUUUGUCAUUAGCAUUAACUAGCCCUGUUCUCAUCCGAUGGAUCUGUGAUAACGGCUUUUAUCUAUUGAUUUUGAAACAGAAUCACCAGAAAGAGAGUGAGUUCCUUUAGCAAAGAACAAGAAACACUUAUUAAGGAACUACACGAGAAGUUCAAAAACCAAUACUGAAAGGAAAAACUUGUGGCUUUACUUUAGAAAUUUAAGCUUUGGAUACUUGAUUUAAUGACUUGACUACUCCCUUUGGAUAUUUUGUUUACUUUAAAAUGUUAAGCUUUAAAUAUU
Molecule: non-coding RNA, 783 nt
Organism: Camelina sativa (false flax)
Lineage: Eukaryota; Viridiplantae; Streptophyta; Magnoliopsida; Brassicales; Brassicaceae
Source: RefSeq, a predicted model, not a curated record